Molecule: long non-coding RNA, 3645 nt
Filed under: Nicotiana tabacum (common tobacco)
Lineage: Eukaryota; Viridiplantae; Streptophyta; Magnoliopsida; Solanales; Solanaceae
Description: long non-coding RNA (NTAB_LNC003623)
Source: RNAcentral
UAUUCAUAUGUAAUGCAACACUUUGGGAGCGUGAUUGUUAAUAUUUGUAGAAGCAACUCUAUAUAAGCGUGCCCUAAAUAUUUUUAAAAAUUUCCGCUAUAAUUUCCCCCUAAAAUUUUUACUGAAAAACUAUGCCCUAAAAUAUUCGCUAAAACAUGUCUCUCAUUUUUACACGAAAAUCUCCUUUUUUUUCCUUAAAAUUUCAUAAUCAAAGUUGAGGGCUCUUCUCGUAUCUUUUAGCAGAUUGAUUGAAGCAAAUUAGAGUGAGUUCAAUUAAAUCUAUCGGGUUCUGUGGAAAUCACUCACGGAGAUGCUAAAUUUUGUCUCGGUUAUGUGCCAUCCGAUUCAAUUGGGAAUCUCAUUGUUUAGGGUUUACUAUCAUUUCUCAAAACUUGGAUAAGAUGACUGCUAAUUUUGAAAUUAAGCUCUAUUAUUUUGUGAUGGGAGGUUAUUAUUCUUGAAAGGUGAAUGCUCUUCUUCUUUCAUACAGUAUUUGCUCUUUAGAGCAGGUUGAAAUAAUUGGGGAUUUCAUUGUUUAGGGCUUACAACCGCAUCCAAAAACUUGGGUAAGACGACUGCUAAUUUUGAAAUUAAGCUCUAUUAAUUCGUGAUGAAUGUUGUUAUUCUUGAAAGGUAUUCACUCUUUUUUUCCAUACGACUAACACUUACAAGAUCAUAUUUUUUAUCUUUCAUUUUUCGCUUUAGAAACCUGCGAAUAUGACAUUUUUGUUAGAUGAUGAGUACAUAUUAUUUUUAUGCGUAUUCGAAGGUUGACGACGUCUGCAUUUUUGUGCAUAUUCUUUAGGUGGUGGAAGUAAUUUAUUUUUGAUUGAGGAUUAUUCAUAUGAUACACUCGUCUAUUGAGGUAAAGUGUAACUGUUAAUAUCCACUUCCAGUGUGUUGUUGUUCAAUACCAAAAAAUGAUUCAUUUCCAAUGGAUUAUUAUCAAUCAACUAUUUAUCAGUUGAAAGGGACAAAGGUCACGAUGUAGAUGUACGUAUGUAUGUGGAGGAUUGUUGCUUAGUUGUUAAUAUCCUUGAUGUUUAAAAAAAGAAGAAAAAUUAAGAUUAGCAACUUCUUACCGCCUGAUCUGUUCUUUUGAUAGAAAUUUUUUAUAGCUCUUGCUGCUUAGUUUCCCGGUAUUGAGGUUUAUAUAGCUUUGGUUAAAGCCAAUAGUGUGCAUGAUUCAAUUGAAUUUUGGGCUUGAAAUGAAUAUGAUAUUUUAUGGAUAUGUUGAAAGCAUGCUCUGAGUUGUUAUUACAGUGUUCUUUGUGUGUUUUGGGGAGUAUAUAUGCUAAAAUAUUUGAAGAUUUGGUUAGGUCCUAUGCUUGUUUAACUCGGUUUAAAGAAUCUGUUGGGUUAGAAUAUAAUAAUAAGUAUGUCCCAGUAUAUUUGUUUAAACCAAUUUGCCACCCACAUUAGAAGCUUUAUCGUCUAUUGUAUCAAGUUAUAAUAUUGAAUUUCUUCAAAAUUAAUUAUUUACAAAAAGCUCAUUAAAAGAGAGGGAAAACACACACAUAGGAGAAAAAUGAAGUAACAAAAAAAUUUCUCUGGAAGAAAUAGUUGAUUCUUCACGUACUCUUGCAAAAAUUUGUACCAGCUUUCUUAUUGUUUAGAAAAAAUGCCAAUUUAAACUGGUUAGUUUAUCAAUGGACCCUUUUUUUCUAUUUCAUUAUUGUUUUACCAUUAUGUCUAGGAGAAUUUCAACCAUGUUGCUAGUCUUUCACAUUCCCUUUUUAAGUACAUACUCAUUUAUGGGGAUUUCUUUGCUUGGUCAGUGAAUCUUGUUAAUGAUCUUGGUGUAAAAUUAUCAAGAGGCUAGAUAAAUGUAUAGAUGGAUAAUUGUCCACUUUGAGAUGAUCUUUGAACUUAAUCAGUUGUUGCAGUUGUUUUCCUGUUAAAUAGUGGAAAUCUUCAGACUUCUAGCAGUUUUAACUCCCCAAGGGAUACAGGGCGACUCAAGGUUCAAGGCUCCGAUCGUUCAUGCACUUUCGUAGAGGUAAUCUCAACUAAUAAAUCUAAAAGCUUUUCCUUUUCUAUGUUCUGGCGACUUCUUAUUGUCCAUAUAUUUUGUUACUUGAAUCAUUCUAACAUAAGAUUACAUUUUGAUCUUGUAACAUUUAUAGAUUUUUCUCUAUUAUUAUAAUUUGUUUUGGGUCUUUUGUAUAUGUAUAUCUCAUACAUAUUGAACAAUUUUGGCAUCUUAUGAAUGCGCUGCCAUUAUUAUUUGAAAGUAGUGAGUUCAUCCUUCAUACUAACUCACAUGUGAAAUUUGAUAAUCUUGUGGGAAGGUUAGUUGAUAGCGAAUAGUGUAUGGGUUGUGAGGCCAACAUCUUCUAUAUUCCUCGAGAUCAAUCAUGAUCUGAUUCUUGAAAAGGUAGUUUUUGAUUGUUUUGGUUAUCGUGGCACGCUCCACCUGUUUUAGGUCAAUUUUGGAUAGUGUAGGAGCUAUGUUGCUCGAACUCUUCGAAAAUAUUAUCGGGUGCGUGUCAGAUCCGCCAAAAGUAGUGCAUUUUUAGAGGAUCUGACACGUGAGCGACAUCAUUUUGGAGAGUCCGCACAACAUAGUGUAGGAGCAAAUUUGACUCUUCUUUCUAUUUGAGUAAAGGGUUAGACACCAUUUGUUUAGAAUUAUAUGGACAAGUGCCUAGAGUAUAGUCUAAAAUUCUGAAAAGAUUGGUAGCUAGGGAAAACAUGUCAAAUAACAUGUAGUAAUAUUAUUAUCAGCUAACAUUGAGAUUGGAAAAUGAUCUAAGUAUAAUUAUGAAGAUGUAAGCCAAUCAGUAAUGUAAGAAUGACUAAAUUUUUAUUUUAAGAUAAGUGAUCAAAGUUAUUUAACAAUAAAAUAAAACUAAUCAGGUUGAGCUGGGAAAUAAAAAGUAAGUUGAAUUGAAUAUAGAUGAUUAAAUAUUUGACAAUGCAAAAAUACAAAGGAAUGCUGAUUAUAAAGCAAAAAUAUAACUGGCGGGAAUGCUGAUGAAUAUUUAGUAGUAUAGCCUAUCCCUGCUAGUUUGGGUUAGGCUUAACCCUUAGUGGUCGUUUGAUACGAGGUAUUAGGUGGGAUAAGAGUUGGGAUUAAAUUUAUAUCUUGUUUGGUUGGAGGUAUAAAUUUACCCCGUGAUAUAUUUGUACCUCUAACCAAACAAGGUAUAAACAUAAUCUCAAAUCUUAUCCCAUUUUAUCCCACUUUAUAGUUUAUACCCUAAAUUAUGGGAUUAUAUUAUUCCAUCUUUUAUGUGGUAUAAAUUAGUACCGGGAUUAUAAUCCCGGUACUAUUUUGUCCACGUACCAAACGACCCCUUAUAUUUUUAGCAGAUAUUUGUUCUUAGGAUACUGUUUGGUAUUUAAGUUUUUGAGGGAACUCUGCUAUGUUGCGCUAAGUCUGCACUUACACACUUUUGUUUCUAUCUGUUUAAUAAUUUUAUUUUGCAUAUGUAGGAAAGUUCUGGCGAGCAAUUGGAAAUGGUGGCCAAAGACAAUUUCAUCUAUGAGAAUUUAAUGAUGACUAUGGACAAUUAAAUUUUUUGUAUUCACGAUACUAUAGUAGUACGUUUGGAUUUGUAAAGUUGAAAUACUAGCAUGGCCCUUGAAACAAUUUGCUUUAUACAUUAAUUUAGUACACAAGAUUUACUCCCUUUUGAAUUA